CACCAAUAGACAUGGAUUCAUCUACCCUUGGAGUCGAGGAGGAGGAGAUUGAUAUUGCUGAGUCUGAGCUAUUCAGUUUCAGUGACCUUGCUUCUUCUUCUAUCGUCAUAGACUCAUAGACAAGGCUUUCAGCCAUUCGGAGGUAAAACAUCCACAAACUUGCAGGCUUGCAGCGACUCGCGGUUGGUCGCUUUAUAUGAUAUUAGGCUUUAGUAUAGUACGCAAUACUCAAUAGUAAUGCACUCUUUUAUCUUUUGAGCUUUGAACAAUUGAACUCUGUUCCUUUUUAUUGUUAGCUUUA
Long non-coding RNA from Papaver somniferum (opium poppy), 301 nucleotides. RefSeq lists it as uncharacterized. The record is from RefSeq and is a predicted model, not a curated record. Lineage: Eukaryota; Viridiplantae; Streptophyta; Magnoliopsida; Ranunculales; Papaveraceae. The transcript is spliced from 3 exons.